GGCGGACGGGUGAGUAAUACGUAGGAAUCUGCCAUCAAUGGGGGACAACUACGCGAAAGCGUAGCUAAUACCGCAUAAUCUCCUUACCUUAGGGUAAGGAGCAAAGGGGCCGCAAGGUCUCGCUUUUUGAUGAGCCUACGUCAGAUUAGCUAGUUGGUAGGGUAAAGGCCUACCAAGGCGACGAUCUGUAGCUGGUUUGAGAGAACGACCAGCCACACUGGAACUGAGACACGGUCCAG
This 239-nucleotide ribosomal RNA is filed under the name uncultured bacterium. RNAcentral's name for it is "partial 16S ribosomal RNA". It matches the Rfam family "Bacterial small subunit ribosomal RNA", at positions 97 to 334 of the family's 1533-position model. The record is from RNAcentral.